Molecule: transfer RNA, 67 nt
Filed under: Tingis cardui
Lineage: Eukaryota; Metazoa; Arthropoda; Insecta; Hemiptera; Tingidae
Description: tRNA-Met
Source: RNAcentral
AAAAAGGUAAGCUAAAAUAUAAGCUAUUAGGUUCAUACCCUAAAUAUAGGAGUAUUCCUCCUUUUUA